GACGAACGCUGGCGGCGUGCUUAACACAUGCAAGUCGAACGGAAAGGCCUUUUCGGAGUUACUCGGGUGGCGAACGGGUGAGUAACACGUGGGAGAUGUGCCCUACACUCUCGGUUAUGCCUGGUAAACUGGGUCUAAUAUCGGUAAGGAGGGCACUUUUGUGUCUGUGGCGGAAAGGGUUUUCGGUGCAGGUUGUGUCCGCGGCCGAUCGGCUCGCUGCGGGGGUGAUGGCUUGCCAAGGCGUUGACUGGUAGCCCGGCCGAGAGGGUGGUGGGCCACAUUGGGGCUGAGAAACGGCCCAGGCAGCUACGGGAGGCGGCAGUGGGGAGUAUUGCAGAAGGGGCGCAAGCCUGAUGCAGAGAGGCGGCGUGGGGGAGGACGGCCUUCGGGUUGUAGACUCCUUUCGGCAGGGACUAAGCGUUUUGUGACGGUACCUGGAGAAGAAGCACCGGCUAACUACGUG
Molecule: ribosomal RNA, 463 nt
Filed under: uncultured bacterium
Lineage: Bacteria
Description: partial 16S ribosomal RNA
Rfam family: Bacterial small subunit ribosomal RNA
Source: RNAcentral